CCACCUCGGGGCUGCGGCUUUUGGGGACACGGCCACGGUGACCUGGGAGUGCCUCUGGGGUGGCCACGGAGCCACGGACAUGGAGGGGACACCCACGGGGGGACACGGGAGCACCAGGAUGGACCUGGAUGGACCCAGGAGCCCUGGAUGGAACUUCUGUGGGGUCCAGGAACAUCCUGGAUGGAUCUGGAAUGUCCUGGAUGGACCUGGGAGCUCCCGGGGUCACCUGGCUGGACCUUGUGGGGGUCCAGGUGACCAUGGGGACACCCUGGAUGGAGCUGAGACCGCCUGGAUACACCCGGGGACAUCCUGGAUGGGCCUUGGGGACAGGGCCGGGGUUUCAUUCAUGGGGACAUCCUGGUGGCACCUUCUGGGGAGGCUCAUUGGGGACAGGGACCUCUGGGGACAGGAGAGGUGGCCCAGGGGACGCGUGGGGACAUCCUGGGGGUCCCUGAGCCUUACGGGGGACACGGGGACAGUCCGGGGGUGGCCUUAGGGGGGGUGGGGGUGUCCCCUCCCCCUGCCGGUGUCCCCUGCCCCUCCCCCCCACGUUGGGGACAGAGCUGUCCCCGCCCCUCCCCCCAGGGCUGCCCCUCCCCCCGCACUCAGGAAGGCCCCGGUAUGGGUGGGGGAGGGGCGGGGCCGGGGGUGGGGCCUCCCUUCCCCCCAUUUCUGUCCUGCUGUAGCCCCGCCCCGGGCACCGCCCCUGGGUGCGGGGACACUGGGGGGAGGGGCCAAGCCCAGGCCACGCCCCCUCUGCGUUGGAUUUUCCAGGUUCUGAUUAAAAACUUUCCAGAAAGAUCCGCGGGCUCUGCGUGGUGCUGGGGGGCCGGGCCCAGUAAAAACCAGUGCUCCCAGUAUGGACCAAUGAUCCCAGUAUGGAACAGGGAUCCCAGUAUGAACCAGUGCUCCCAGUAUGGACCAAUGAUUCCAGUAUGAACCAGUGCUCCCAGUAUGAACCAGUGCUCCCAGUAUGGACCAAUGAUUCCAGUAUGGAACAGGGAUCCCAGUAUGAACCAGUGCUCCCAUUACAAACCAGUGCUCCCAGUCCAAACCAGUCCCUCCCAGCACUCCCGGUGCCGCACGCGCAGCCUCUGUACUAAAAUA
Molecule: long non-coding RNA, 1107 nt
Filed under: Junco hyemalis (dark-eyed junco)
Lineage: Eukaryota; Metazoa; Chordata; Aves; Passeriformes; Passerellidae
Description: lncRNA (ENSJHYG00000000220.1)
Source: RNAcentral